GUGGAUUAGAUACCCGGGUAGUCCACGCCGUAAACGGUGGGCGCUAGGUGUGGGGCACUUUCCACGUGCUCUGUGCCGCAGCUAACGCAUUAAGCGCCCCGCCUGGGGAGUACGGCCGCAAGGCUAAAACUCAAAGGAAUUGACGGGGGCCCGCACAAGCGGCGGAGCAUGCGGCUUAAUUCGAAGCAACGCGAAGAACCUUACCAAGGCUUGACAUAUAGGGAAAUCUCAUAGAGAUAUGAGGUCCGCAAGGGUCCUAUACAGGUGGUGCACGGUCGUCGUCAGCU
Molecule: ribosomal RNA, 287 nt
Filed under: uncultured bacterium
Lineage: Bacteria
Description: partial 16S ribosomal RNA
Rfam family: Bacterial small subunit ribosomal RNA
Source: RNAcentral